This 275-nucleotide ribosomal RNA is filed under the name uncultured prokaryote. Its description in RNAcentral is "partial 16S ribosomal RNA". It matches the Rfam family "Bacterial small subunit ribosomal RNA", at positions 524 to 798 of the family's 1533-position model. The record is from RNAcentral.
UACGGAGGGUGCGAGCGUUGUUCGGAAUUAUUGGGCGUAAAGCGCGUGCAGGCGGUUUGGUAAGUCUGAUGUGAAAGCCCCGGGCUCAACCUGGGAAAUGCAUUGGAAACUGCUGGACUUGAAUACGGUAGAGGGUAGUGGAAUUCCUGGUGUAGGAGUGAAAUCCGUAGAUAUCAGGAGGAACACCGGUGGCGAAGGCGGCUGCCUGGACCGAUAUUGACGCUGAGACGCGAAAGCGUGGGUAGCAAACAGGAUUAGAUACCCCCGUAGUCCCU